UUGCUACGGGCGGUUCUCUGAAAACUUACGGGUUACGCCGGCCACCCCCGGGGGGGAAAUGAACUCGCGGGACACCGUAGAGACGCUGCUCAGCUGUGUCGCGGUGAAUGAAAGGCCGGAUUCCUCAAGAAGCACAUGCACGUAACCUGGGGACAGGGUGACGACCUCCGUCGUGAUGUCUCAUUAAAUCUACGUCUUCCUCAGAGAUGAAGGUGAUCCACUCCUGUAACGCUGGGUGACGACCUCGGCUCGUGCUGUUGCAUUAAAUCUACGUCUUCCUCAGAGAGGAAGGUGAUCCACUCUUGUGACCCUGGCCUGAUGUGAAAGGGGGCAUCUGGAUCUUGGGAGUCCUUUUGGAAGACCCCCUACUGAGGGUGACGACCUCGCAUUAAAUCUACGACAUCUUCCACAGAGAUGAAGGGGACGCUGGGUGACGACCUCACAUUAAAUCUACGACGUCUUCCACACAGAUGAAGAUGAUCCACUCCUGUGACGCUGGUACGUUUUUAACUUAAUGUAUGAUCCUGUUCAGUCUUGUCGCUGUGAUGAUGCUUUUUCCGCCAUUCGUAGUUUCCACCAGAGGUCCUAACGGACCAGAGAUGGCCCAAACCUUCCUUGGAUGUCUGAGCGACUGAAGGAGAACGAUGAUAACUUCGGUCUUUAAUAUUCAUCAUAACUAAAUGCAUCUCAUAUCUCCCUUUCAGGCCUGAUGUGAAAGGGAACAUCUGGAUCUUGGAGUCCUUUUUGGAAGACCCCCCCCACUGAGGAGCAGUAGGUGUGUAUCUCAUCUGUUUAACCCUCGUGUUGUCCUCAGGUCAAAUUUGACCGGUUUUCAAAAAAAUUUUAAUUUUUAUAUCAGAAAUAUGGAUUUCUGUCAACUAAAUUACCCUAAAACAACAUGGAUGAUUCCAUACAAUGUUCUUCAGGUAAAAUGAUUACUUUCAUUGAAUUUUUUUUUGGGUGUUUCAUCUAAAUAAAUCCAACUCAGUCUCUUUAUCUGGUUCCUACAUUUCGCUGUGAUGAUGCUUUUCCGCCAUUCGUAGUUUCCACCAGAGGUCCUAACGGACCAGAGAUGGCCCAAACCUUCCUUGGAUGUCUGAGCGAA
Etheostoma spectabile (orangethroat darter) is the source of this 1105-nucleotide long non-coding RNA. RefSeq lists it as uncharacterized. The record is from RefSeq and is a predicted model, not a curated record. NCBI's taxonomy places the organism in Eukaryota, Metazoa, Chordata, Actinopteri, Perciformes, Percidae. The transcript is spliced from 7 exons.